UACGGAGGGUGCAAGCGUUAUCCGGAAUCACUGGGCGUAAAGGGCGCGUAGGUGGUCUGUUAAGUCUGGCGUUAAAGCCUGGGGCUCAACCCCAGAUCAGCGUUGGAUACUGGCAGGCUAGACGGUUGGAGAGGCGAGUGGAAUUACCAGUGUAGCGGUGGAAUGCGUAGAUACUGGCAGGAACACCCAUUGCGAAGGCAGCUCGCUGGACAACACGUGACACUGAGGCGCGAAAGUGUGGGGAGCAAACCGGAUUAGAUACCCU
Molecule: ribosomal RNA, 265 nt
Filed under: uncultured prokaryote
Description: partial 16S ribosomal RNA
Rfam family: Bacterial small subunit ribosomal RNA
Source: RNAcentral